UUUUUAUAGUUUAAGUAAAAUAUUACACUGAAAAUGUAAAGAUAUUUGUUAAAAA
This 55-nucleotide transfer RNA is filed under the name Rhipicephalus sanguineus (brown dog tick). RNAcentral's name for it is "tRNA-Phe". The record is from RNAcentral. Lineage: Eukaryota; Metazoa; Arthropoda; Arachnida; Ixodida; Ixodidae.